GACGAACGCUGGCGGCGUGCUUAACACAUGCAAGUCGAACGGAAAGGCCCUGCUUUUGUGGGGUGCUCGAGUGGCGAACGGGUGAGUAACACGUGAGUAACCUGCCCUUGACUUUGGGAUAACUUCAGGAAACUGUGGCUAAUACCGGAUAGGAGCUCCUGCUGCAUGGUGGGGGUUUGAAAGUUUCGGCGGUUGGGGAUGGACUCGCGGCUUAUCAGCUUGUUGGUGGGGUAUUGGCUUACCAAGGCUUUGACGGGUAGCCGGCCUGAGAGGGUGACCGGCCACAUUGGGACUGAGAUACGGCCCAGACUCCUACGGGAGGCAGCAGUGGGGAAUAUUGCACAAUGGGCGGAAGCCUGAUGCAGCAACGCCGCGUGCGGGAUGACGGCCUUCGGGUUGUAAACCGCUUUCGCCUGUGACGAAGCGUGAGUGACGGUAAUGGGUAAAGAAGCACCGGCUAACUACGUG
This 468-nucleotide ribosomal RNA is filed under the name uncultured bacterium. Its description in RNAcentral is "partial 16S ribosomal RNA". It matches the Rfam family "Bacterial small subunit ribosomal RNA", at positions 28 to 507 of the family's 1533-position model. The record is from RNAcentral.